AACUGAUACUACCUGCGGGAACCUGCGGAAGGAUCAUUACAUGGCGGAGGAGGUGGGCACCUAGUAAAACAAAACCCUAGGUGUGUUGCCUACCACGCUUUCUACCCUUGUCUAUUUGCACCUUUUGUCGUUCCCUCGGUGGGUCUUGAACCUGCCGGCGGCAACUUUCAAAAACCUUUUGUAGUUAGUAUCUAAUUCUUCUGAUCAAAUAUUCAAUCGUUACAACUUUUAGCAAUGGAU
This 240-nucleotide unclassified non-coding RNA is filed under the name soil metagenome. RNAcentral's name for it is "partial contains 5.8S ribosomal RNA, internal transcribed spacer 2, and large subunit ribosomal RNA". The record is from RNAcentral.